Molecule: ribosomal RNA, 492 nt
Filed under: uncultured bacterium
Lineage: Bacteria
Description: partial 16S ribosomal RNA
Rfam family: Bacterial small subunit ribosomal RNA
Source: RNAcentral
AGUGAACGCUGGCGGUAGGCCUAACACAUGCAAGUCGAACGGCAGCACAGUAAGAGCUUGCUCUUACGGGUGGCGAGUGGCGGACGGGUGAGGAAUACAUCGGAAUCUACUUUUUCGUGGGGGAUAACGUAGGGAAACUUACGCUAAUACCGCAUACGACCUACGGUUGAAAGCAUGGGAUCUUCGGACCUUGCGCGAUUGGAUGAGCCGAUGUCGGAUUAGCUAGUUGGCGGGGUAAAGGCCCACCAAGGCGACGAUCCGUAGCUGGUCUGAGAGGAUGAUCAGCCACACUGGAACUGAGACACGGUCCAGACUCCUACGGGAGGCAGCAGUGGGGAAUAUUGGACAAUGGGCGCAAGCCUGAUCCAGCCAUACCGCGUGGGUGAAGAAGGCCUUCGGGUUGUAAAGCCCUUUUGUUGGGAAAGAAAAGCAGCAGGUUAAUACCCCGCUGUUCUGACGGUACCCAAAGAAUAAGCACCGGCUAACUUCGUG